RNAcentral lists this ribosomal RNA (405 nucleotides) under uncultured bacterium. RNAcentral describes it as "partial 16S ribosomal RNA". It matches the Rfam family "Bacterial small subunit ribosomal RNA", at positions 28 to 526 of the family's 1533-position model. The record is from RNAcentral.
GAUGAACGCUGGCGGCGUGCCUAAUACAUGCCAGUCGAGCGAAGCGGGGACGGGUGAGUAACACGUGGAUAACCUCCUAUAAGACUGGGAUAACUUCGGGAAACCGGAGCUAUACAGGAUACUUAUAUAUGGAUCCGCGCUGCAUUAGCUAGUUGGUAAGGUAAUGGCUUACCAAGGCAACGAUGCAUAGCCGACCUGCGAGAGUGAUCGGCCACACUGUAACUGAGACACGGGCAAGACUCCUACGGGAGGCAGCAGUAGGGAAUCUUCCGCAAUGGGCGAAAGCCUGACGGAGCAACGCCGCGUGAGGGAUGAAGGUCUGCGGAUCGUAAAACUCUGGUAUUAGGGAAGCGGGACCUAAUCAGAAAGCCACGGCUAACUACGUGCCAGCAGCGGCGGUAAUAC